RNAcentral lists this ribosomal RNA (497 nucleotides) under uncultured bacterium. RNAcentral describes it as "partial 16S ribosomal RNA". It matches the Rfam family "Bacterial small subunit ribosomal RNA", at positions 28 to 507 of the family's 1533-position model. The record is from RNAcentral.
GACGAACGCUGGCGGCGUGCCUAAUACAUGCAAGUUGAGCGCUGAAGGUUGGUACUUGUACCAACUGGGUGAGCAGCGAACGGGUGAGUAACGCGUGGGGAAUCUGCCUUUGAGCGGGGGACAACAUUUGGAAACGAAUGCUAAUACCGCAUAAAAACUUUAAACACAAGUUUUAAGUUUGAAAGAUGCAAUUGCAUCACUCAAAGAUGAUCCCGCGUUGUAUUAGCUAGUUGGUGAGGUAAAGGCUCACCAAGGCGAUGAUACAUAGCCGACCUGAGAGGGUGAUCGGCCACAUUGGGACUGAGACACGGCCCAAACUCCUACGGGAGGCAGCAGUAGGGAAUCUUCGGCAAUGGACGAAAGUCUGACCGAGCAACGCCGCGUGAGUGAAGAAGGGUUUCGGAUCGUAAAACUCUGUUGGUAGAGAAGAACGUUGGUGAGAGUGGAAAGCUCAUCAAGUGACGGUAACUACCCAGAAAGGGACGGCUAACUACGUG